Molecule: long non-coding RNA, 751 nt
Organism: Lathyrus oleraceus (garden pea)
Lineage: Eukaryota; Viridiplantae; Streptophyta; Magnoliopsida; Fabales; Fabaceae
Exons: 2
Source: RefSeq, a predicted model, not a curated record
AGAGAGCUAGCUUCAUCAGAUCAAACUUAAAACAAAUGAAAACGCGCUCAGGUUGAAGAAUGGAUCUCCCCCACACCUGGCUUAAAACACCUCUCCUCCGCCGAGCCGGAGGUUGCCUCCGGCGGCGGCGGAGGGCCAAUCCGAGAAACUUAACACCAUCUAACUCGUAUCUUCAUUCUAAAUCCAAAUAUGAUAUCAAUUCCACCUGAUUCGAAGCUUAAAGCCCUAACUGAUUCGAUCUUGUCCGAGAACCCUAACUACAAGUUGAUAAAUGAAAUCCUCCUCUCAAGGAAUCAAAACCCAAGGCAUUGGGGCUUUGAUUCCCUACCACUCAACUCACAUUUCAGUAUCAAAUUUGAAGCAAGAAGGUGAAAGAUUGAACUUAUGCUGCCGGAGAAGAUGCAAACAACGGCCAAACUCCGGGCUGUUAAUGCAAUGGGAUAUGGCUCAUGUUCUUGGAGUUUGGAAUGAAGGUGCCAUGGAUGAACAUGAAGAAUCAUGAUUACUUGUUAGUGAAGAAAGCUUUGAUCAUGAGAUUAAAAAUGAGAAUGAAAACAUGAAGAACAAAGUGGAAACUAGGCCUUAGGUUUAAGGAUUUGAUGAGUUGACUUGACCAAAAAGUGAACAGUUGACCAAAGUCAAUUAUAGGUAAAAAUCAGUUUUGUUUUGUAAUUCCUUGUAGGGAGAUUUGUAAUGUGAUAUGUAUGAAUGCAAUGAAAGUUUUUGAAUGAGAAAAUCUCUUAUGACUUAA